RNAcentral lists this ribosomal RNA (253 nucleotides) under uncultured bacterium. Its description in RNAcentral is "partial 16S ribosomal RNA". It matches the Rfam family "Bacterial small subunit ribosomal RNA", at positions 524 to 776 of the family's 1533-position model. The record is from RNAcentral.
UACGUAGGGGGCAAGCGUUGUCCGGAAUCAUUGGGCGUAAAGAGCGUGUAGGCGGCUCGGUAAGUCCGCUGUGAAAGUCCAGGGCUCAACCCUGGAAUGCCGGUGGAAACUGUCGAGCUAGAGUCCGGAAGAGGCGAGUGGAAUUCCUGGUGUAGCGGUGAAAUGCGCAGAUAUCAGGAGGAACACCUGUGGCGAAAGCGGCUCACUGGACCAUAACUGACGCUGAUGCACGAAAGCUAGGGGAGCAAACAGG